Molecule: transfer RNA, 73 nt
Filed under: Canis lupus familiaris (dog)
Lineage: Eukaryota; Metazoa; Chordata; Mammalia; Carnivora; Canidae
Rfam family: tRNA
About the family: Transfer RNA (tRNA) molecules are approximately 80 nucleotides in length. Their secondary structure includes four short double-helical elements and three loops (D, anti-codon, and T loops).
Source: Rfam by way of RNAcentral
GCCUGGCUGGCUCAAUCGGUAGAGUGUAAGACUCUUGAUUUCAGGGUUGUGAGUUCAAGCCCCUUGUCAGGCA